GGGCCUUCCCCACUGGCUUCAGAGGCGUGACUGAGGGCAAGAAGGAAGAGCCAAGAUUCUGUCUACAUGUGUGAUCGACAAUGUUAAUUCUCAUAUUGUACAUUGUGCCAUCUCUCCCUGAACUUUAUUGAUGUUUUGAAGCAAAACAACCAUUUACUCCUCUCCUAAAGAUUCCAGUUAAUGAGGUGCGCACAGAUUUACUAUCAAUAAAUUGGCUGCACUUAUUAGAUGGCAGAGCCCUAAGAUGUUGGUGGGAGUAUUUCAAAUGGAAUUAACAUGAAGAGAUGCAGAGCUGUAUACUAUCAUCUGUGAAAUAUGGAGAAGGACAAGCAAUACAUAAACAGGGAAAAAGAGAAUAAUCUGAUCUACCUCUGCGGGUGCUGGUAAGGAUUAAAUAAGAAGAUACAUGCAGACCCAGCAUGGUGCCGAGCACACUAAGCAUUCAGCAAAUGGGGUCAAGAUUUGAGCACCUAAGACACUCAGCAAUGGAGGUGACUCUGUGGAAGUUAGGGUGGCACAUUCAUUUCCACGAACUGUUUCUUGGGACAACAACAAUAAAAAGGCAUGGAGGAAGUAAUUACAGCUGGAGCCACAGAUCUUGCACAUGGCAGCAGGAGUUGUUUUGCCUGUUGGAGAUUAAGAGUACCAGAGAUGUCUCCAAGAGCACCAGCAACCCCAGCUAUCUGGAUCUGAAGUGGAUAUGCUCAGAGACAUCCUGGCCCACCCCAAAGAAGAUGCUGCUGCACUCAGAAGACGCCAGAGCUAGCCACCACCCACACUGCAAGUCUGGAAGCUCUGCAAGGACCCAGCAAGGCAGCCUGCUCAGCGAAGGCUUUGUCUCCUGUGGCAGGAAGAGCAACAUUAAGAACAAGAACCCCGGGCUGGACUACCCCUGAGAUUUAAUGACCAGAGCUGAGACCCCCAAGACCACAAUGACUAUGGAGGGCUGUCAUUACCCUGCCUGACCCUCUAAUGCCUCUCAGUUCAAGGAGGCCACUGAGUGAAACUGAAGGCUGGUUUUCCUUGGAAGCCAGCGGCCCAUCCACCUGCUCCACUUCCCUGCCUCUUGCAGCCUCCGCUCAAACACUGUCGUGGCUUGGCAGCACUACAAGGCAGAGUGAAAACAGAUACUUCUACCCACAUUCCUAUCUCCUCUCAUUUACGCAGAUUAAAUGCUUUCUUUCCUUGUUUUA
Homo sapiens (human) is the source of this 1193-nucleotide long non-coding RNA. Ensembl annotates it as long intergenic non-protein coding RNA 2981. NCBI's taxonomy places the organism in Eukaryota, Metazoa, Chordata, Mammalia, Primates, Hominidae. The record is from Ensembl.